This 1238-nucleotide long non-coding RNA is filed under the name Coturnix japonica (Japanese quail). RNAcentral's name for it is "lncRNA (ENSCJPG00005015166.1)". The record is from RNAcentral. Lineage: Eukaryota; Metazoa; Chordata; Aves; Galliformes; Phasianidae.
GGCAAACUGGGACCCCCUGUCCUGGCUCAGUUGGUCACAGCCUUCAGCUCUCCAUACCCCACAGCGGCCCCUGGCUCUGCAGGUCUCCUCCACGCCAUCCCCCUUCACCAGAGCACCAAUGAGUGUGAGGGAGGGAGGGGAGAAAAAGUGCUGUGCUGUGUGGAUUAUUGUGUGUUUGUCAUCUGGAGUGGUAUAAGCUGUAGGUACAGCAUCUCCCAGCGGUGAUUUAUGGCCGCUGUCAGGCGGCACCAGCGCUUUGUCUGCUGUAGCGUGGAGGAUGAAUGCCGCGCUGUCAUCGCGGGCAGGGCAGUCUUUCUCUCGCUCUGCUCCGUGUGCUCGCUCCCCAUUUCACGCCGCUGAACAUAAACAAUCUUUUGUAAACCUGACAGUCACACUUGCUUCUUUGGAAACAUAAUGCAGGAAUGGAUGACUCGGCUUUCAUCGCCCCAUUUCCUGGGCUGCGCAGGAGGGAAGAUGGCAAAGGGAAGACCUCAGAGCGAUCCUCAAAAAGCAGAAAGCCAGGAGCAGCAUUGCACUGGGAUCAAAGCCUGCUUCAUGAUGAGUUCCCACAUGCCUAGAGAUGAAAUUUGCCAUGGGAACACUGAGCAGCGUGGCAGAUGGUUUGCUUUGGAAGUUUCUCCGUGUGAGUCCUGAACAUCUGCUGGGGAGGAGCAGCUUGGUAUAAAUGCAGAGAGAUUGCUGGAAGGGCUCAUUUGGGGAGGUGCACAGCUCCCAGUGCCAGCUGCAGACUAGUGGCAAGGUCCUUGUCCCCAUCUUGUCCUUGUCCCUUUCCCUGUUCCUGUCCCUGUCCUUGUCCUUGUUUCAUGGACCAGGGGCACAUAGGCUCCCCAUGACCUGGCUCUAGAAUAUAUAUAUAUAUACAUAAUAUAUAUAUACAUAUAUAUAUUUGCAUAAAUCUGAAUGGCAAACGAGAUGCUGUCUCCCAGCUUGUCCUUUCCCAUGGGUUUUAAAGCAAUUAUUUAUAUGUGUGAGCACAAUCAGAUGGGUGUUCCAGUGCCAGCACCACCUCUGUGCCUUUAGCUGAGAGCGGACGGAGCUGUGGCAUGCAGGAAGCAAAGAAAAUGUGAGUAACCGGGUCAUGGGGAUGGGAAGAGGAAUCUUUCCUGGCAACGUGGGGGAUGCAGGGCUGCCAUGACCCCGUGGUGAGUGCUGGGUGUGUGCCGGGAGCUCCUGCAGCCACAGCUCUGUGCCAGCACCAACAGCCCAUCACUCACCUC